RNAcentral lists this ribosomal RNA (497 nucleotides) under uncultured bacterium. Its description in RNAcentral is "partial 16S ribosomal RNA". It matches the Rfam family "Bacterial small subunit ribosomal RNA", at positions 28 to 507 of the family's 1533-position model. The record is from RNAcentral.
GACGAACGCUGGCGGCGUGCCUAAUACAUGCAAGUUGAGCGCUGAAGGUUGGUACUUGUACCAACUGGAUGAGCAGCGAACGGGUGGGUAACGCGUGGGGAAUCUGCCUUUGAGCGGGGGACAACAUUUGGAAACGAAUGCUAAUACCGCAUAAAAACUUUAAACACAAGUUUUAAGUUUGAAAGAUGCAAUUGCAUCACUCAAAGAUGAUCCCGCGUUGUAUUAGCUAGUCGGUGAGGUAAAGGCUCACCAAGGCGAUGAUACAUAGCCGACCUGAGAGGGUGAUCGGCCACAUUGGGACUGAGACACGGCCCAAACUCCUACGGGAGGCAGCAGUAGGGAAUCUUCGGCAAUGGACGAAAGUCUGACCGAGCAACGCCGCGUGAGUGAAGAAGGGUUUCGGAUCGUAAAACUCUGUUGGUAGAGAAGAACGUUGGUGAGAGUGGAAAGCUCAUCAAGUGACGGUAACUACCCAGAAAGGGACGGCUAACUACGUG